RNAcentral lists this ribosomal RNA (1216 nucleotides) under Leuconostoc carnosum. Its description in RNAcentral is "bacterial SSU rRNA". It matches the Rfam family "Bacterial small subunit ribosomal RNA", at positions 245 to 1454 of the family's 1533-position model. Lineage: Bacteria; Bacillati; Bacillota; Bacilli; Lactobacillales; Lactobacillaceae. The record is from RNAcentral.
UUAGUUGGGGGGUAAAGGCCUACCAAGACAAUGAUGCAUAGCCGAGUUGAGAGACUGAUCGGCCACAUUGGGACUGAGACACGGCCCAAACUCCUACGGGAGGCUGCAGUAGGGAAUCUUCCACAAUGGGCGAAAGCCUGAUGGAGCAACGCCGCGUGUGUGAUGAAGGCUUUCGGGUCGUAAAGCACUGUUGUAUGGGAAGAAAAGUUAAGGUAGGGAAUGACCUUAGCCUGACGGUACCAUACCAGAAAGGGACGGCUAAAUACGUGCCAGCAGCCGCGGUAAUACGUAUGUCCCGAGCGUUAUCCGGAUUUAUUGGGCGUAAAGCGAGCGCAGACGGUUGGUUAAGUCUGAUGUGAAAGCCCGGAGCUCAACUCCGGAAAGGCAUUGGAAACUGGUUAACUUGAGUGCAGUAGAGGUAAGUGGAACUCCAUGUGUAGCGGUGGAAUGCGUAGAUAUAUGGAAGAACACCAGCGGCGAAGGCGGCUUACUGGACUGUAACUGACGUUGAGGCUCGAAAGUGUGGGUAGCAAACAGGAUUAGAUACCCUGGUAGUCCACACCGUAAACGAUGAACACUAGGUGUUAGGAGGUUUCCGCCUCUUAGUGCCGAAGCUAACGCAUUAAGUGUUCCGCCUGGGGAGUACGACCGCAAGGUUGAAACUCAAAGGAAUUGACGGGGACCCGCACAAGCGGUGGAGCAUGUGGUUUAAUUCGAAGCAACGCGAAGAACCUUACCAGGUCUUGACAUCCUUUGAAGCUUUUAGAAAUAGAAGUGUUCUCUUCGGAGACAAAGUGACAGGUGGUGCAUGGUCGUCGUCAGCUCGUGUCGUGAGAUGUUGGGUUAAGUCCCGCAACGAGCGCAACCCUUAUUGUUAGUUGCCAGCAUUCAGAUGGGCACUCUAGCGAGACUGCCGGUGACAAACCGGAGGAAGGCGGGGACGACGUCAGAUCAUCAUGCCCCUUAUGACCUGGGCUACACACGUGCUACAAUGGCGUAUACAACGAGUUGCCAACCUGCGAAGGUGAGCUAAUCUCUUAAAGUACGUCUCAGUUCGGACUGCAGUCUGCAACUCGACUGCACGAAGUCGGAAUCGCUAGUAAUCGCGGAUCAGCACGCCGCGGUGAAUACGUUCCCGGGUCUUGUACACACCGCCCGUCACACCAUGGAAGUUUGUAAUGCCCAAAGCCGGUGGCCUAACCGUAAGGAGGGAACC